UUCGUCAGGUAUCGAAAGAUCACCGAAUGACUAACUCAUCGCUACGAGUCUCUUCUCCGUUGUGGGAAUAAUUAUCACGUAUGAGAUUAAUCAUCCUUGACUGGGUGAUUACUUGGACGCGGGCUAGAACGGACUGAAGAAAAAGUGUACCGCGUGAAUUUUUAAAUAACAAGAAGCCAACGAUCUUUCCUUUUCAAAUUCUCCCGGGUGCUGCUCCACUUGUCGAUUUUCAGAUUUGUGCAGUUUAUGUCGUGGUUAUUUAAAUCAAAUUUGUGAUACGUAGAGGAAGCCUCUGUUCGUUAGUUUGAAUGGAUUACGGAACAGCGAUAUAUAAUGCGAUUUCUCAUAGACUGCAGUGGCUAACCGUUACGUAAUGCUUGAUUUGUGGUUUUUUUAUACUAUGCCAGAGAUAGUUUAGUAAUAGAAUGUCUGCCUGUGCUUUUUUAGAUGUAGAGUAAAAUGGCGAUUGACAUUAAGUUCACAAAGUUCGACAACACACCAUGGGGCUUUCGUCUAGCGGGUGGCAGUGACUUCCCGCAACCAUUAACAGUCAUUAGAGUAACGGAAGGCAGCCUCGCGGAGUGCAUGGGACUUCGAGUAGGUGAUAUUGUUGUCAGAUUGAAUGAUCAGCCUAUCAGCAGUUACACUCACGGAAGGGCCCAGGAAGCUUUGGUAUUAGCGGGAAACAACUUUGUCUUGAGUGUUCUCAGGAGUGAAGACAGUGAGAAAGUCAUAGAAGCCAUUCAACAGGAAAACAUCGUUCCCUAUAAUAUUCCUCUUGAGGAACUAAAACCCGUCUAUUCUCCGGAAGUGCCAGAAGAAUCCGUACCUGAACCUUGCACGACCGAAUUUACGGAAUCUGAACGAAUGUCCGAAAGUCCGGAGAAAGUUGUGGAUCCUGACGAAGAAGCACUCAUGAGCAAGCCUAUGGACGCAAACAGCGAGGUUGUGACUAAUAAGAAUUUAACAGACGAAGAAAUAGCUCUGCUGAUCCUCGAGGAGGAAGAAUUGUUGCCGGAACAAGGGGUUCUCGGAGUAAAUUUCAAAAAGCUCAGACCCCGAGCCGCGCUGCUGAAAGAGUCUAAAGUCCUGGAGGAGCUCCAAAAAAUCGAGACGGCGGACCCUCCCCAGGUUCAGGAGCUGAAACGCUCGACAACUUUCCUUCAGAAACCUCAACGACCCCCGCCUCGGCCUAAGACAGAAGCGGAACAGCCGAAGGGCGAGCAAUAUCGCGUCGUGAUCCAGAAGCAGAAGAAGAAGAGCUUCAUCGAACGGCUCACAGAAAAAGGGCUUCUUGGCCCGAUUCCUUCGCCGGAGCCGCCGUCCCAGAAGACCACACCUGCGCCAACGCCAACGGCAACACCAGAACCCCCAGUCUGUAAUUCCGAAGAAGAAUUAUCGAGACCAGGAUCAAAGGCUGACGGGAUGACGGAAGUUAUCGAAGAAGUUACCGAGGUUGUUGAAUGGGGCGAUUGCGGCGAGCAAGAUUCUGUUCGAACCGAAGAAAUAACUUGCGAAACUCGCGAAUCAGAGAUAAGUAUUGAACAGAUAUCUGUGCCCAAAUUCGACAAAGAAAAGAUGAAAGAGCUGGUGACCACGGAGCUGAAUCUCGAAAAGCAAUUGGAAAGCGUUCAGAGCCAACUACUCGCUCUUAAGCAAUUGCCGAGCGAGAUAGAAACACAUUUAAGAAUCGUUUCGGAACAACUGUACAAAAUAAUGGAGCUCAGCGGAGUGAGUAAGGACAGCCUGAGUAGCAGUCGUCUGGUAUCAGAGCAAAAUUCCGAAAUGACCAAGGAAAUAACCGAGGGAGACUACUCGGAACAGGUGGAGGACGAACAAAGUUUGAUGAUCGACGAAGAGCAUCACUACGAAGAAAUCGUGGAUGACAUAAGGGAGAAUGGAGUCGAGGAAAAUAGAGACGAAGAUCAAAGUCACGGCGAUGAGAAGCCUAGUGCAGCACCGUGCGAAGCUGACGACGUUCCAAAGAUAGUCGAGCCUGCAGAAGAGAUAGAGGUGAAGGACGAUAGGGUAAAGAAAUUUGUCAUAUCCUACGAGACGCAGAUUAUAAGAUCGAGAGAUGCAAGUCCAGCGUUAUCCGACACAAAAACAGGGGAGAAAACACUCGAAAGACCUCUGGCCCCAGGCUAAGCAGGUCGAGCUAACCUACGGGAGGAGAUGGAGGUGUCCGAAUGACUUUUUCAAUGACGAAAUGAUCGCCGAGGUUUUAUCUUCCCAAGCCGAAGUUCUAAACGGCAGAGCGCUUGGGAUAAAUUUCAAAAAAUACGAGAAAACAAAUCUGCCGAACUACGACCACCUGAUGAAUUCCUCGGCUUAUAAAAUGAUCCACAAGAUGGAGGCAGAACCGCAAAAGGGGAUCCCGGUUCGACCAGCCAAGGUUAUCGCGGCG
RNAcentral lists this unclassified non-coding RNA (2407 nucleotides) under Neodiprion lecontei (redheaded pine sawfly). RNAcentral's name for it is "uncharacterized LOC107223467, transcript variant X1". Lineage: Eukaryota; Metazoa; Arthropoda; Insecta; Hymenoptera; Diprionidae. The record is from RNAcentral.